UGGGGGAUAUUGCACAAUGGGCGAAAGCCUGAUGCAGCGACGCCGCGUGGGGGAUGAAGGCUUUCGGGUUGUAAACCUCUUUCGCUAUCGAACAAGGCCCGCUUAGGGUGGGUUGAGGGUAGGUGGAGAAGAAGCGCCGGCUAACUACGUGCCAGCAGCCGCGGUAAUACGUAGGGCGCGAGCGUUGUCCGGAAUUAUUGGGCGUAAAGGGCUUGUAGGCGGCUUGUUGCGCCUGCUGUGAAAACGCGGGGCUUAACUUCGGGCGUGCAGUGGGUACGGGCAGGCUUGAGUGUGGUAGGGGUGACUGGAGUUCCAGGUGUAGCGGUGGAAUGCGCAGAUAUCUGGAGGAACACCGAUGGCGAAGGCAGGUCACUGGGCCAUUACUGACGCUGAGGAGCGAAAGCAUGGGUAGCGAACAG
Molecule: ribosomal RNA, 419 nt
Filed under: bacterium
Lineage: Bacteria
Description: partial 16S ribosomal RNA
Rfam family: Bacterial small subunit ribosomal RNA
Source: RNAcentral